This is an RNA transcript of Myotis brandtii (Brandt's bat), 571 nucleotides long. It is a transcript of the gene named ubiquitin-conjugating enzyme E2 variant 2 pseudogene, with no coding region annotated. NCBI's taxonomy places the organism in Eukaryota, Metazoa, Chordata, Mammalia, Chiroptera, Vespertilionidae. The record is from RefSeq and is a predicted model, not a curated record. The transcript has a single exon.
GGCCGCGUCGGGGUGCAGAAGAAGAUGGCGGUCUCCACAGGAGUUAAAGUUCCUCGUAAUUUUCGCUUGUUGGAAGAACUUGAAGAAGGACAAAAAGGAGUAGGCGAUGGUACGGUUAGCUGGGGCCUUGAAGAUGAUGAAGAUAUGACACUUACAAGGUGGACAGGCAUGAUUAUUGGGCCACCAAGGACAAAUUAUGAAAACAGAAUACAUAGCCUGAAAGUAGAAUGUGGGCCUAAAUACCCAGAAGCUCCUCCGUCAGUUAGACUUGUAACCAAAAUUAAUAUGAAUGGAAUAAAUAAUUCCAGUGGAAUGGUAGAUGCACGGAGCAUACCAGUAUUAGCAAAAUGGCAAAAUUCAUAUAGCAUUAAAGUUGUACUUCAAGAACUAAGACGUCUAAUGAUGUCCAAAGAAAAUAUGAAGCUUCCACAGCCACCAGAAGGACAAACAUACAACAAUUAAUUUUAGUGGAUCUCAAACUUGUCUUAAAUCAACAAUCUUCUACUCAUGUUAAUGUCUUGAUUAAAUAUCACAAUGCAAAAUACCCACACAUUAAGUAAAAGAAUGCCAG